UUAUGGCCAUAUCACAUUAAAACACCAGUUCACAUACGAUCACUAAAGUUAAGCAAUGUUGAGCCUGGUCAGUACCCAAAUUGGUAACUGCUUGGAGAUAUCAGGUGCUGCAA
Molecule: non-coding RNA, 113 nt
Organism: Acanthosepion pharaonis
Lineage: Eukaryota; Metazoa; Mollusca; Cephalopoda; Sepiida; Sepiidae
Source: the annotation of a GenBank genome assembly